RNAcentral lists this ribosomal RNA (225 nucleotides) under uncultured Flavobacterium sp. RNAcentral describes it as "partial 16S ribosomal RNA". It matches the Rfam family "Bacterial small subunit ribosomal RNA", at positions 568 to 792 of the family's 1533-position model. Lineage: Bacteria; Pseudomonadati; Bacteroidota; Flavobacteriia; Flavobacteriales; Flavobacteriaceae. The record is from RNAcentral.
CGUGUAGGCGGUAUCAUAAGUCAGUGGUGAAAGCCCAUCGCUCAACGAUGGAACUGCCAUUGAUACUGUAAGACUUGAAUUUUUGUGAAGUAACUAGAAUAUGUAGUGUAGCGGUGAAAUGCUUAGAUAUUACAUGGAAUACCAAUUGCGAAGGCAGGUUACUAACAAACGAUUGACGCUGAUGGACGAAAGCGUGGGGAGCGAACAGGAUUAGAUACCCGAGUA